This 830-nucleotide ribosomal RNA is filed under the name Brunneofusispora sinensis. RNAcentral's name for it is "partial large subunit ribosomal RNA". It matches the Rfam family "Eukaryotic large subunit ribosomal RNA", at positions 88 to 937 of the family's 3401-position model. Lineage: Eukaryota; Fungi; Ascomycota; Dothideomycetes; Pleosporales; Occultibambusaceae. The record is from RNAcentral.
GGCGAGUGAAGCGGCAACAGCUCAAAUUUGAAAUCUGGCUCUUUCAGGGUCCGAGUUGUAAUUUGUAGAGGGUGCUUUGGCGUCGGCUGCGGUCUAAGUUCCUUGGAACAGGACGUCACAGAGGGUGAGAAUCCCGUACGUGGCUGCUAGUCUUCGCCGUGUAAAGCCCCUUCGACGAGUCGAGUUGUUUGGGAAUGCAGCUCUAAAUGGGAGGUAAAUUUCUUCUAAAGCUAAAUAUUGGCCAGAGACCGAUAGCGCACAAGUAGAGUGAUCGAAAGAUGAAAAGCACUUUGGAAAGAGAGUCAAAAAGCACGUGAAAUUGUUGAAAGGGAAGCGCUUGCAGCCAGACUUGCCUGUAGUUGCUCAUCGGGACCCCGUCCCGUGCACUCUUCUGCAGGCGGGCCAGCAUCAGUUCAGGCGGCCGGACAAAGACCUCUAUCACGUAUCUUCCUUCGGGAUGACCUUAUAGGGGAGGUGUAAUGCGGCCAGCCUGGAUUGAGGUCCGCGCAUCUGCUAGGAUGCUGGCGUAAUGGCUGUAAGCGGCCCGUCUUGAAACACGGACCAAGGAGUCUAACAUCUAUGCGAGUGUUUGGGUGUCAAGCCCGGGCGCGCAAUGAAAGUGAACGGAGGUGGGAACCCCUCGGGGCGCACCAUCGACCGAUCCUGAUGUCUUCGGAUGGAUUUGAGUAAGAGCAUAGCUGUUGGGACCCGAAAGAUGGUGAACUAUGCCUGAAUAGGGUGAAGCCAGAGGAAACUCUGGUGGAGGCUCGCAGCGGUUCUGACGUGCAAAUCGAUCGUCAAAUUUGGGCAUAGGGGCGAAAGACUAAUCG